UGGGCAACCUGCCCUCAGCUCUGGGAUAACUCCAAGAAAUUGGGGCUAAUACCGGAUAUGACCGCUGACCGCAUGGUCUGGUGGUGGAAAGAUUUAUCGGCUGGGGAUGGGCCCGCGGCCUAUCAGCUUGGUUGGGUGGGGUAGUGGCCUACCGAGGCGACGACGGGUAGCCGGCCUGAGGAGGGUGACCCGGCCACACGUGGGACUGAGACACGGCCAGACCUCCGUACGGGGA
Molecule: ribosomal RNA, 235 nt
Filed under: uncultured bacterium
Lineage: Bacteria
Description: partial 16S ribosomal RNA
Rfam family: Bacterial small subunit ribosomal RNA
Source: RNAcentral